GUGUGGAUAUACACUCAGAGUAACAUCACAAGCAUCAUAUUCACCUGAGUAUAUUACACCAACACAGAAAAAAAUUAUGGUCAUUAUUUUAUUCAAAAUCUUAGCGCUUAUUGCCUGAUCAUAUAGAGAUGCAUGUUUCUGAAAACUCAUGACUGCGGUAUUAAGUGAAUUAGUAUAAAUUCAUGUAGAUGACUAUUGUAUCACCUUAUGCAACCAAGACUGAAUAAAAAAGUAAGACAAAUCAGUGCGUAAGCACGGUAUCAAGUUAAUCAUUACUCCGUUCAGGGAAAAAAAUAUAACUGUCACGUGUGUGUCUUGCAGCAACACUUUUGCCUCUCUACUAACAGCAUAUUCCUUAACGAUAUGAUAAUCUGGAAAGAACUAAUUGUAUUACUUUUUAUUUGAGUUUAUCUUAAUAUUUCUGGUUACAGUAAUUGAAUAGAUUAUAUUGUGCUUUCGUAUGAAGUUGAGGCAUUAAUGAAGUUGAGGAAUAGGAUUUGUGCACGGUGAAGUGAAAUUCAACAUUCAUGUCACUGUUCAAUGGCGCGUAAUCUUGCAGCACGUCAUUGCUAGCUGUCAGAAAGUUCAAAAACGCGUUCAGAAUUUGGAAGGGAACAACAUUGAAUUUCGUCCCAAAAGACGCACUGAGAAAAACAUACGAAAUGAAAUAUUGAUAUAAUAAUAAAUAUAUCUGAACCAGUUAGGUUUCCGUAUGGAAUAUAACUCUGCUCUUAAUUCAAAGAUCCUGUUAAUUGAUGCUCACGCAUGGGCAUAUCCUGUUAAUUAUGACUCCGGUUUUGACGGUGUGGA
Molecule: non-coding RNA, 810 nt
Organism: Paramuricea clavata
Lineage: Eukaryota; Metazoa; Cnidaria; Anthozoa; Malacalcyonacea; Plexauridae
Source: the annotation of a GenBank genome assembly